UACCAGCACCCCGAGUGGUCGGGACGUUUAUUGGGCCUAAAGCAUCCGUAGCCGGUUCUACCAGUCUUCCGUUAAAUCCACCUGCUUAACAGAUGGGCUGCGGAAGAUACUAUAGAGCUAGGAGGCGGGAGAGGCAAGCGGUACUCGAUGGGUAGGGGUAAAAUCCGUUGAUCCAUUGAAGACCACCAGUGGCGAAGGCGGCUUGCCAGAACGCGCUCGACGGUGAGGGAUGAAAGCUGGGGGAGCAAACAGG
RNAcentral lists this ribosomal RNA (253 nucleotides) under uncultured bacterium. Its description in RNAcentral is "partial 16S ribosomal RNA". It matches the Rfam family "Archaeal small subunit ribosomal RNA", at positions 474 to 727 of the family's 1478-position model. The record is from RNAcentral.